GCCGGCGUAGCUCAGUUGGUAGAGCAGCUGAUUUGUAAUCAGCUGGUCGGGGGUUCGAAUCCUCUCGCCGGCUCCA
Molecule: transfer RNA, 76 nt
Filed under: Candidatus Thiodiazotropha endolucinida
Lineage: Bacteria; Pseudomonadati; Pseudomonadota; Gammaproteobacteria; Chromatiales; Sedimenticolaceae
Also listed under: 40 other names
Description: tRNA-Thr
Rfam family: tRNA
About the family: Transfer RNA (tRNA) molecules are approximately 80 nucleotides in length. Their secondary structure includes four short double-helical elements and three loops (D, anti-codon, and T loops).
Source: RNAcentral